CCUACGGGUGGCAGCAGUGGGGAAUAUUGGUCAAUGGGCGUAAGCCUGAUCCAGCCAUGCCGCGUGUGGGAUGAAGGCUCUCUGGAUCGUAAAUCCUUUUUAUAAGGGAGUAAAGUGUGGGACGUGUCCUAUUUUGUAUGUACCUUAUGAAUAAGGAUCGGCUAACUCCGUGCCAGCAGCCGCGGUAAUACGGAGGGGGCGAGCGUUACCCGGAUUUAUUGGGUUUAACGGGUGCGUAGGCGGCCUUUUAAGUCAGCGGUGAAAGUCUGUGGCUGAACCAUAGAAUUGCCGUUGAAACUGGGGAGCUUGAGUAUGUUAGAGGCAGGCAGAAUGCGUGGUGUAGCGGUGAAAUGCGUAGAGAUGACGCAGAACCCCGAUGGCGAAGGCAGCCUGCCAGGCCAUGACUGACGCUGAUGUACGAAAGCGUGGGGAUCAAACAGGAUUAGAUACCCUUGUAGUC
RNAcentral lists this ribosomal RNA (460 nucleotides) under uncultured bacterium. RNAcentral describes it as "partial 16S ribosomal RNA". It matches the Rfam family "Bacterial small subunit ribosomal RNA", at positions 338 to 795 of the family's 1533-position model. The record is from RNAcentral.